Long non-coding RNA from Nerophis lumbriciformis (worm pipefish), 352 nucleotides. RefSeq lists it as uncharacterized. NCBI's taxonomy places the organism in Eukaryota, Metazoa, Chordata, Actinopteri, Syngnathiformes, Syngnathidae. The record is from RefSeq and is a predicted model, not a curated record.
GACAACAGUAAAGCACCGUUAUUUGUAGAAUAUGGAGCUAAUGUUAUUGUAAUGCCAGCAUUAAUAAGAGCCAUUGUAGUACUGGACGGCUCCAGCAGGGGGCGCGUUGUGCUGGGAGCUAUACUAGAGGACACCUGACUUCCUGCUUGCAGUCAAUACAGACGUGAGCAGAACGAAGUUGUGUCCUCGUAUCUGUAUACUCAAACAUCUCCCUUCUCAGAUGCUGCUAAGACAGUUCAUAUUUCUCCAGGCAGUCCUGUCCUCCAGGUAGGCUGCAAGGACAUGGAAGUGAUCAAUUAUCUUUUCUACUCCUUGGUGGUUUCAAAAUAAAACGUUCCUCUGGAAAACAAAA